UACGAAGGACCCGAGCGUUAUCCGGAUUUAUUGGGGUUAAAGGGUGCGUAGGCGGAAUAGUAAGUCAGUGGUGAAAGCCUGUUGCUUAACAACAGAACUGCCAUCGAUACUGCUAAUCUUGAGUACAUAUGAUGUGGGCGGAAUGUGCCAUGUAGCGGUGAAAUGCUUAGAUAUGGCACAGAACACCGAUUGCGAAGGCAGCUCACAAAACUGUUACUGACGCUGAGGCACGAAAGCGCGGGGAUCAAACAGG
RNAcentral lists this ribosomal RNA (253 nucleotides) under uncultured bacterium. RNAcentral describes it as "partial 16S ribosomal RNA". It matches the Rfam family "Bacterial small subunit ribosomal RNA", at positions 524 to 776 of the family's 1533-position model. The record is from RNAcentral.